Molecule: transfer RNA, 74 nt
Filed under: Planctomycetaceae bacterium
Lineage: Bacteria; Pseudomonadati; Planctomycetota; Planctomycetia; Planctomycetales; Planctomycetaceae
Description: tRNA-Met
Rfam family: tRNA
About the family: Transfer RNA (tRNA) molecules are approximately 80 nucleotides in length. Their secondary structure includes four short double-helical elements and three loops (D, anti-codon, and T loops).
Source: RNAcentral
GGCGGAGUAGCUCAGGUGGUUAGAGCAGCGGAAUCAUAAUCCGCGUGUCGGGGGUUCAAAUCCCUCCUCCGCUA